AUUGAACGCUGGCGGCAGGCCUAACACACGCAAGUCGAGCGGAUGAAGGGAGCUUGCUCCUGGAUUCAGCGGCGGACGGGUGAGUAAUGCCUAGGAAUCUGCCUGGUAGUGGGGGAUAACGUCCGGAAACGGGCGCUAAUACCGCAUACGUCCUGAGGGAGAAAGUGGGGGAUCUUCGGACCUCACGCUAUCAGAUGAGCCUAGGUCGGCUUAGCUAGUUGGUGGGGUAAAGGCCUACCAAGGCGACGAUCCGUAACUGGUCUGAGAGGAUGAUCAGUCACACUGGAACUGAGACACGGUCCAGACUCCUACGGGAGGCAGCAGUGGGGAAUAUUGGACAAUGGGCGAAAGCCUGAUCCAGCCAUGCCGCGUGUGCGAAGAAGGUCUUCGGAUUGUAAAGCACUUUAGGUUGGGAGGAAGGGCAGUAAGUUAAUACCUUGCUGUUUUGACGUUACCAACAGAAUAAGCACCGGCUAACUUCGUG
This 484-nucleotide ribosomal RNA is filed under the name uncultured bacterium. RNAcentral describes it as "partial 16S ribosomal RNA". It matches the Rfam family "Bacterial small subunit ribosomal RNA", at positions 30 to 507 of the family's 1533-position model. The record is from RNAcentral.